AGUGACUAUAGUAUGUGUGGGGAAUAGUGAGGGAGUCAGUAUAAAGAUGAAAACAGUAGGCACCCAUGGGAGGAUCUUUCAGAACACUACUGCAUCAACAGCAUCUGGACUUAAGAAAAUCUGAAUGUCAUUCACAUCCAUAGGAGGAAGUCUGAUUUUAGAGUGCUACAUGAAAGGACUGAGCCACACCACUCUUCUCAAGAAAACACUGGAUUCCACCAAUUCUACAUAGCUUAUCAAUCCACUACUGCAACUUCAGUGUGUCCACUUGGGUGCUUAUCUUGAAGAUGGAUAAGUCUCCAUAAUUUUGAAAGAAGUUUUUGUGAGAGAUGUUCCUGAAAGUGCUUAUCAUGAAGAGGGAUAAACCUCCAUAAUUUUGAAAGUUUUUGUGAGAGAUGUUCCUAAAGGCAUAUAUACAUGUUCCUUUCAUACAUAAAGAUAGAAUAUCUGCUGGAAGUUGCUAUAAAUAUUAAAUAAAAUUUACUAAACCAUA
Long non-coding RNA from Suricata suricatta (meerkat), 493 nucleotides. RefSeq lists it as uncharacterized. NCBI's taxonomy places the organism in Eukaryota, Metazoa, Chordata, Mammalia, Carnivora, Herpestidae. The transcript is spliced from 3 exons. The record is from RefSeq and is a predicted model, not a curated record.